This 538-nucleotide ribosomal RNA is filed under the name Tetracladium breve. RNAcentral describes it as "eukaryotic LSU rRNA". The stretch from base 181 to 334 matches the Rfam family "5.8S ribosomal RNA". Lineage: Eukaryota; Fungi; Ascomycota; Leotiomycetes; Helotiales. The record is from RNAcentral.
UCUGGGAAGGAUCAUUACCGAGUUCAUGCCCUGAAAAGGGUAGAUCUCCCACCCUUUGUAUACCUUACCUUUGUUGCUUUGGCGGGCCGCCUAGCUACUGGCUUCGGCUGGUAAGUGCCCGCCAGAGGACCCAAAACCCUGAAUUAUUAGUGUCGUCUGAGUAAAAUAUUUAAUAUUUAAAACUUUCAACAACGGAUCUCUUGGCUCUGGCAUCGAUGAAGAACGCAGCGAAAUGCGAUAAGUAAUGUGAAUUGCAGAAUUCAGUGAAUCAUCGAAUCUUUGAACGCACAUUGCGCCCCUUGGUAUUCCGAGGGGCAUGCCUAUUCGAGCGUCAUUAUCACCCCUCAAGCUUCAGCUUGGUGUUGAGGCCUGCUGUCAAGGCAGCCUCUAAAAUCAGUGGCAGUGCUGUCAGGCUCUAAGCGUAGUAAAAUUCAUCGCUAUAGACACCUGGUGGACACUCGCCAGAACCCCCAAUUUUUAAUGAUUGACCUCGGAUUAGGUAGGGAUACCCGCUGAACUUAAGCAUAUCAAAUGAUGA